This 266-nucleotide ribosomal RNA is filed under the name uncultured archaeon. RNAcentral's name for it is "partial 16S ribosomal RNA". It matches the Rfam family "Archaeal small subunit ribosomal RNA", at positions 731 to 982 of the family's 1478-position model. The record is from RNAcentral.
AGACGUCUACAUUACGAUACCCCCGGUAGUCCCAGCCGUAAACUAUGCGCGUUAGGUGUAUCGGUGACCACGAGUCACCGAGGUGCCGAAGGGAAACCGUGAAACGUGCCGCCUGGGAAGUACGGUCGCAAGGCUGAAACUUAAAGGAGUUGGCGGGGAGCACCACAACAGGUGGAGCCUGCGGUUUAAUUGGACUCAACGCCGGGAAGCUCACCGGAUAGGACAGCAGAAUGAUUGCCGGGCUGAAGACCCUGCAUGACUAGCUG